Long non-coding RNA from Neofelis nebulosa (Clouded leopard), 322 nucleotides. RefSeq lists it as uncharacterized. The transcript is spliced from 3 exons. Lineage: Eukaryota; Metazoa; Chordata; Mammalia; Carnivora; Felidae. The record is from RefSeq and is a predicted model, not a curated record.
CAACACCUGAGCUGAGAUCAAGAGUCAGAUGUUUAACCAACUGUAUCACCCAGACCCCCCAUUGUGUACAGCUAUCCUAAGGAGGGACAAACAGGAGGACCCCAGGAUAAGGGAGCCGACAAGAGCUUCGAGCAGACUCCACAUGUAGUGUGGAGCCCGACUCUGUGUCACGACCCUGGGAUCAUCACGUGAGCCGAAAUCAAGAAUCAGACGCUCAACCUACUGAGCCACCAGAUGUCAGUGUUUUGGAAGCAUUCACAGAAACAGAGGGAACCUGCAUUCCAGCUAUCAAUGACACUGAGGACGUGUCCUUCUGUUGAAU